Molecule: ribosomal RNA, 465 nt
Filed under: uncultured bacterium
Lineage: Bacteria
Description: partial 16S ribosomal RNA
Rfam family: Bacterial small subunit ribosomal RNA
Source: RNAcentral
CCUACGGGUGGCAGCAGUAGGGAAUCUUCCACAAUGGGCGAAAGCCUGAUGGAGCAACGCCGCGUGGGUGAAGAAGGUCUUCGGAUCGUAAAACCCUGUUGAUAGAGAAGAAAGUGCGUGAGAGUAACUGUUCACGUUUCGACGGUAUCUAACAAGAAAGCCACGGCUAACUACGUGCCAGCAGCCGCGGUAAUACGUAGGUGGCAAGCGUUAUCCAGAUUUAUUGGGCGUAAAGGGAACGCAGGCGGUCUUUUAAGUCUGAUGGGAAAGCCUUCGGCUUAACCGGAGUAGUGCAUUGAAAACUGGGAGACUUGAGUGCAGAAGAGGAGAGUGGAACUCCAUGUGUAGCGGUGAAAUGCGUAGAUAUAUGGAAGAACACCAGUGGCGAAAGCGGCUCUCUGGUCUGUAACUGACGCUGAGGUUCGAAAGCGUGGGUAGCAAACAGGAUUAGAUACCCCAGUAGUC